UAAGCGGAGGAAAAGAAACUAACAAGGAUUCCCCUAGUAACUGCGAGUGAAGCGGGAAGAGCUCAAAUUUAAAAUCUGGCAGUCUCUGGCUGUCCGAGUUGUAAUUUAGAGAAGUGUUGCCCGUGCUGGACCGUAUACAAGUCCUCUGGAAUGGGGUGUCAUAGAGGGUGAGAAUCCCGUCUUUGAUACGGACUACCAGUACUUUUGUGGUGCGCUCUCAAAGAGUCGAGUUGUUUGGGAAUGCAGCUCAAAAUGGGUGGUAAAUUCCAUCUAAAGCUAAAUACAGGCGAGAGACCGAUAGCGAACAAGUACCGUGAGGGAAAGAUGAAAAGAACUUUGGAAAGAGAGUUAAACAGUACGUGAAAUUGCUGAAAGGGAAACGCUUGAAGUCAGUCGCGUUGUUCAAGAAUCAGCCUUGCUUUAUUGCUUGGUGUACUUUUUGUUCAACGGGUCAACAUCAGUUUUGACUCACUGGAUAAGGGUCAGGGAAAUGUGGCAUCUUCAGAUGUGUUAUAGUCUCUGGUCAUAUACAGUGGUUGGGACUGAGGAACUCAGCAUGCCGAAAGGACGGGUCCGUCAAAAGACUACGUUACAUGCUUAGGAUGUUGGCAUAAUGGCUUUAAUCGACCCGUCUU
Molecule: unclassified non-coding RNA, 635 nt
Filed under: Megacollybia rodmanii
Lineage: Eukaryota; Fungi; Basidiomycota; Agaricomycetes; Agaricales; Porotheleaceae
Description: sequence contains 28S rRNA gene
Rfam family: Eukaryotic large subunit ribosomal RNA
Source: RNAcentral